This is a long non-coding RNA of Salvia miltiorrhiza (redroot sage), 407 nucleotides long. RefSeq lists it as uncharacterized. Lineage: Eukaryota; Viridiplantae; Streptophyta; Magnoliopsida; Lamiales; Lamiaceae. The record is from RefSeq and is a predicted model, not a curated record. The transcript has 3 exons.
AACACCACAGCAGCCAACAUCAAUUACAAGCCUAAAUUUCUCAUUGAAUUCAAUAGCAACAAACAGCCACCAACACCAAGCAUAGCAGGUCAAGCGCAAGAGUAAGAACUACACAAGGAGUUAGAGUACCUUAGCAAAACUUUGCUAUCAGGUUGAGCUGUGAUGGGCGAUGAAGUGUUGUUGCUGAGUGGAGUUUUUGUUGAACUUAAAGUAGGCUCAGAAAGGAUACAUGUCUUCAUACAUGUAUCUCAGUUAUGUAUUCCGCUGUAAACACUGAUUAUUUCAGUUACGCCUUCCGUUGCAAACUCUAAUAAUAUUUUAGCCAAGCCCCUAACGAUGCCUUUUUCCUUUUAAGGAAUAUUUCACGCGUAUCCAAGCUCUUUGAGUAUUCUUUUAUGCACCCCUUU